RNAcentral lists this ribosomal RNA (492 nucleotides) under uncultured bacterium. RNAcentral's name for it is "partial 16S ribosomal RNA". It matches the Rfam family "Bacterial small subunit ribosomal RNA", at positions 30 to 507 of the family's 1533-position model. The record is from RNAcentral.
AUCGAACGCUGGCGGCAUGCUUUACACAUGCAAGUCGAACGGCAGCGCAGUCUUAGGUUUCUCUUCCGGGUGCGGACUGGUGAGUGAUGCAUGAGUACAUCCGAAUCUAUUUUUUCUUGCCCGGUGACGUACGGAUUCUUACGCCAUUACACCUUACGAUGUACGCGUGAGAGCAGAAGAUCUUCCGCUCUUGCGGCGUUGGAUGUCCCGAUGUCGGAUUAGCUAGUUGGUGGGGUAAAGGCCCAACAAGGCGACGAUCCGUAGCUGGUCUGAGAGGACGAUCAGCCACACUGGAACUGAGACACGGUCCAGACUCCUACGGGAGGCAGCAGUGGGGAAUAUUGGACAAUGGGGGCAAGCCUGAUCCAGCCAUGCCGCGUGGGGGAAGAAGGCCUUCGGGUUGUAAAGCGCUUUUGUUGGGGAAGAAAAGCUGUAGGCUAAUACCCCGGGGGGAUGACGGUACCGGAAGAAUAAGCACCGGCUAACUACGUG